RNAcentral lists this transfer RNA (75 nucleotides) under Actinomycetes bacterium. Its description in RNAcentral is "Actinobacteria bacterium tRNA-Met". It matches the Rfam family "tRNA". Rfam says of the family: Transfer RNA (tRNA) molecules are approximately 80 nucleotides in length. Their secondary structure includes four short double-helical elements and three loops (D, anti-codon, and T loops). Further hydrogen bonds mediate the characteristic L-shaped molecular structure. tRNAs have two regions of fundamental functional importance: the anti-codon, which is responsible for specific mRNA codon recognition, and the 3' end, to which the tRNAs corresponding amino acid is attached (by aminoacyl-tRNA synthetases). tRNAs cope with the degeneracy of the genetic code in two manners: having more than one tRNA (with a specific anti-codon) for a particular amino acid; and 'wobble' base-pairing, i.e. permitting non-standard base-pairing at the 3rd anti-codon position. Lineage: Bacteria; Bacillati; Actinomycetota; Actinomycetes. The record is from RNAcentral. RNAcentral also lists the same sequence under 1 other name.
GGGGCGGUAGCUCAGCUGGUCAGAGCGGCGGACUCAUAAUCCGGCAGGUCGUGGGUUCGAGCCCCACCCGCCCUA